AGAACGAACGCUGGCGGCAUGCCUAAUACAUGCAAGUCGAACGAACACUUCGGUGUUAGUGGCGCACGGGUGCGUAACGCGUGGGAAUCUGCCCUUGGGUUCGGAAUAACAGUUGGAAACGACUGCUAAUACCGGAUGAUAUCGAAAGAUCAAAGAUUUAUCGCCCAGGGAUGAGCCCGCGUAGGAUUAGCUAGUUGGUGAGGUAAAGGCUCACCAAGGCACGAUCCUUAGCUGGUCUGAGAGGAUGAUCAGCCACACUGGGACUGAGACACGGCCCAGACUCCUACGGGAGGCAGCAGUAGGGAAUAUUGGACAAUGGGGGCAACCCUGAUCCAGCAAUGCCGCGUGAGUGAUGAAGGCCUUAGGGUUGUAAAGCUCUUUACCCGAGAUGAUAAUGACAGUAGUCGGAGAAUAAGCUCCGGACUAACGUCCGACG
RNAcentral lists this ribosomal RNA (436 nucleotides) under uncultured soil bacterium. RNAcentral's name for it is "bacterial SSU rRNA". It matches the Rfam family "Bacterial small subunit ribosomal RNA", at positions 26 to 510 of the family's 1533-position model. The record is from RNAcentral.